Molecule: long non-coding RNA, 4448 nt
Filed under: Olea europaea subsp. europaea
Lineage: Eukaryota; Viridiplantae; Streptophyta; Magnoliopsida; Lamiales; Oleaceae
Source: RNAcentral
AAAAGAAGAUGUUAUGAGCUUCCAAAUGCUCCAGCAAAAAAACAUGCUCUUUAUUCCAAUAGACCGUGUAUACUUAACUCUCACUCUUUAUCCAUUCGUAGAGCAAAACUGGGAUAAAGCAUAGAAGUUGUCCAACAAAAAUAAAUUGCUAGUAACUUAUAAAGAUGUCAAAUGUCAAGUUGUCAAAUCGCUAGGGACGGCAGUGACUUCUUUUCCAACAUCAAAUCACAGGGAUUUGUUAAGAAUUUCAGGGUACAAAAAGUCGCAUUGACAAUAUGAAUAAUGUUCUUAGUCGUAAUAUGUCUUAAAUGGAAUCCAACAUAAAUUUUGUUUCCUAGUACAAUAACUCUCUCUGAAAACAUAUAUAUAAUAAGAUAGUUCGAAUUCUUCUUGACAUUUCAAUGUCUUGAAGUUAAGAACAUGAAUAUGAUAAUCCAAAAGAAAUAUCUAAUUUGACCACAUUUCAAUGUCUUGAAGUUGCAACAUGGAUGUUCAGAGACAAAUUGUGAAAUGCUUGGUUGACAAGAUAAGAAUUUAUCAAAAACAUAAGCUAAACUUUAUUCUCAAUGAACAUGUAGCUACCUAUAUGUAUCCUUCUUCUUUCAUACUGUUCAAUGCAUUUAGGGUUUUAGAUUUAGUAAUAUAGCAGUACGUUUACUGUUAUGUCUAAUGAAAUCAAAUCUUUUGCAAGGUAUGAUAAAUUCUGUGCUAUUGAUGUUGCAAGAUUUUAAGCAAAAUUGGUGGUCUCUGCAUAAUCUGAGACCAUAAUUAGAACCAAACUUACUCAUAAUUGGAUUAAUUAUGCAUCCCAAGCUCUUAUCCAACAUUUUCCUCUCAUCCAAAUGUGGUCGUGUGUAUGAAUGUUGAUCAGCUGGUGUAUGCAAAUUAAUAUUACUGAACUUUAAACAGAUCUUGAGAUAUAAACAUUUGUGGGCACUGCCAUAAAGUACUAUCACUACCUUCCUUAUACACGAAUGAAGGAUGCACUAGGAUGUUUGAAAUAUCUGUCUCGAUAUUCAUAAUUUGGUGAAUAAUCGUCUAAGAAAAGUUAAUGGGAAUAUCAAAAUCACAUAUUUAGUCAAACAUUAAAUUCUUUGUGUACGACCUCCUUUGCCAGAAAAAAUAAAAAUAAAAAAGAGACUAAAGUUAAUGAAUAGUAGAGGCGUCAACAAGGACAAAGGAUUAAGUUUUUCUUAGUUCACCCUCAUUCUGAAGUCGUGAGAACUUAUGAGUAAUGCUAGAUUCUCUCACACAUUGGUCAUUAACCUAAAAUACAUAAAUCCUUCAUUUUAAAAAUACUGCAUGAAUGUUGAAUAUGUUAUAACUUACAAGUACAAUCAAGUUUUAUAUGAAACAUGAAAUACAACAGAAAACUAAAAUUCACUAAGUUGAAAGGGAAUUCUUUGUUCUGAAAAAAUGAAAAUCAGUUCAAUUCCAAUUCAUAUUAGUAGACAGCAUCUUGUUUCCCAACAAAAUGAAGCCAAAACCUGAGUGGUAAGUAUAAAUUUUCACUUUUAUGUCUUUAUAAUUUCACAUGUUAAGAUGUGAAUAACUUAGAUUAUUAAAAAAAAAUAUUGGUAUAAAUUUAUAACGUUGACCUUAUCUGAUAUGAGCACUAGCCUUAUAUAAGCCUACCUAUUAUGGCUCAUUUUUGGCUUCGAUUUCAAUUUAUUCUUUAGUCUAAAAUUCAGUGUGGCCUAAGAUUAUAUUAAGCUCAGUUUGAAUUGGUUUGAUUCACUAUCAUAAUUGGACAUUGGAAGGGUUGUUGCAUCUUAGUGUCAUUCUCUGUGUUCAUUUUUCUUGUUUCUAUUUGAUUGACAGCGUUAUCAUGCAUACUUUAUGUAUGAGGUUGAUUCGUGGAGCAUCAUGUGUACAGGUUUGGUUCUUCUUCUUAACUCUAUAUUUCCAUUUUCUUGAUAGGUGAGUUUUGUAGUCCAUGUAAUGCAUACUGGGAAUAAUGUUAUGAGUUCACUGUUCAAAUGGAUUUUGUUUGUGACUAUUUUUAUCGACAGCAUUGCCCUGAAAAUCAUUUUUAUUUUAUUUUAAUUUACUUCAACUGUCGCGGUAAUUUCUGAUCACUAUAUGCUUAGCCACUGUAGUUUAAUUAAGUUUACUUAUAAUUUUUGUAGCAUAAACUGUUUCUUUAUAUGUAUUCUCAUACUAUUCAUGCAAUUUAACCCUCCCAGUUGACAUUCCCCAAAUAAAUCUAUGGAAAAUAAGCAAAGAAAGAUAUUGAAUAACCAAUUAAUUCUGUUGGCAUGGGUACAAAUUCUUAUUCUUGUCGUUAAAAGAUUAAGGUUGCUUUGCAUUAUAUGCUUCCCUAUAUUUACUUCAGAAUUCAAACAAAGCAAUGUCAAGGUCUUGUAACGAUCACAUUUUUUCUUGGUGGUUUGGGAGGAAAGAAGAUCUUGUGAAAUAUUUUUAGGUGUUUGCCUACCUACUGAUUAUGAUUGUCUUGGAUUUCCUUGUCAAGGACUAAGAAUUUGGUGGAUGUUGAGAAAAAUCUAUGGUGCUAAUUUAUAAAUCAACAAAGUUUUGAAUGUUGCCCCAAUAACAGAAGGGGCGUGCUACAAGAACAGGGGGCUGACCGCCCCCUGACCGAACCCCACAAAUAGGGGGGAGUGCCCACGUUUUUUUGCUGGCCCCACCCCCAUUUGAGGGGCUCCUGUCAGGGAGGCGGUCAGCUUCCCUGUUACAGGAGCAUUUUCCAUAGCAGAAAAUCUUUUAAGUAUUGACAUGUCUUAUUCUUUAAUUUUAAAAUCAUGGCUUACCAAGCUAAUCUUAUCUAGUACUUCAUUGCUAAUUCGAAGCCUAUCACAGAGGGGGUUACCAUUUUGGUGUGCUUCAUGGUAAUCACUGGAUUACUGCACAAUUCAAAGUACCAUUGGAGAUUAUUUUAGUAUUCUUGCUUCUCUAGCAUGCUCUUAGUAGUCUUCUGGUUACACCUUAUGCUGAGGUAAUCGGUCAUUUAAACACAAUUCAUAUUCAAAUUAUCACAGCUUAUAUUAACAAUCAGAAUAAGAUUUAGUAGUACGAGAUGAAAAUUUACAGAAAUUACUUCAAGUGAAGAAUUGAUCAUAUUACAUUUUUAAUUUGCCUUUUUGCUUCCAAACACGAGUUCAUUCUUAUUUUUCUUUCUAUGCUAACCUCACCCGUUUAAUUCUCUAAUUCAAUAGCUUCCAUCAAUUAGCAAGAACACAUUCCAUUAAAUACCUUAUUAUUUGAGAUACAGGUUUCACACCAGUUCAGGAAAAGCAAUCAAGUGACGGAUUUAUUAACAAAAAUGGGUGCACAAGGGGUAAUGCAGAGAUUUACAUCUUGUGGUGACUUGUUCGGUUGGACCGCAUUGGAGUUCCCUACUUACGUAAGUGAGUUGAUUGGUCUAGAAAAUUUUUAAAUUCGCUAUUUGUAAGGCUAUUUUGUCAUCACGGUAUUCCUCAGCCAUAAGUGAGGAUUGUUUUCAAUAAAAUUAUUGGUUGACUUUAAAAAAAAAAAAAUUCUCAUUAUUUAUUUCCACUCUGAUUGAGUUUACACCCAUCCUACAGAUAGGCAAAGUUUAAGUGGGAUAUCUCAUGGCUUCCGUUUGGGACACUAAGGUAAACCAUGUUUGAACUCUGUUUCAACAUAUAGUUACUAACACAGGUUAUAAUAGAUUUAUUGAGGUAAGCAUUGAUUCUAAAAUAGUAGUGCAUCUGGGAUCUGCCUUUAUGUGAAUCAUGUACUCAAAGAGUCUUCUGAAGUGGGGCAAAAUUUACAACUACAAUCAAAGAGAACUUAAUUCAGAAAUUUGAUCUCAUCAAUCAAUACUCUAAGCCUCGUUUUAACUGCUAAACAUGCAUUGAAAAUAUUGAUGUUAAUGUAGUUUUAUAUUCAAAAAUAAAGAAUAAAUAUGCAUGUAUGACAUAUCUUGCUUGAAGUCUGCUUACAUUAUGGUUUUAAUAUGUAUGCAUUUAAUUCCUCUCGAAAAGGUUACAUCAAUUUUUAACUUAUUGGUUUAGGGUUCAAAAAAUAUAGUGGUUUAGAUAAAUUCAUCUGAAUCAGAUUAAUCUUUUUGCUUUGAUGUUUAAUGGUGAUUUGCUCAUUGUGUUUUAGAUAGUAGAUCAUUGAUACCUAGAAAGGAGCAGGCCCAGCUUUUGAGAGGGGUUACAACUCUGGUACCCGGGUUUCAUAUGGUUUAUAUAGAUAUUCCUUUAAAUAAUAGAGGUUGUUUCGUGUAAGUUUGGGAAGAAAUAUUCUGAUUUGAAUGCAUCAAUGGGAUUCCAUGGUCAAUAUGCUUCGCCAAUUCUUAUGUAAUUUUGACUUUUCUUUUAAUCUUUACAUUCUUUGACAGAUGAUAAUCCAAAAUUGCAAAAGCAAAUAAAAUGUAUGUAAUUUACGAGAAUCCAAUACAUUUAACACACUAAAAUUACCGUCAAAAUAACCUAGUGCACGGGCAAAGAUUAGUAUAG